CAUCAGCAUGGCUGGUUUCUACCCACGAAGGCCCUGUUCCUGUGAUGUAGUUCUGUACAGAGUAAUGAGAUGUGUGACGGCUGCAAACCAGGUGUUUUUUUCUGAGGCUGUGUUGACAGCUGCUAAUGAGUGUGUUGGUGUUUUGCUCGGCAGCUUGGAUCCUAGCAUGACUAUACAUUGUGACAUGGUCAUUACAUAUGGAUUAGACCAACUGGAGAAUUGCCAGACUUGUGGUACCGAUUAUAUCAUCUCAGUCUUGAAUUUACUCACGCUGAUUGUUGAACAGAUAAAUACGAAACUGCCAUCAUCAUUUGUAGAAAAACUGUUUAUACCAUCAUCUAAACUACUAUUCUUGCGUUAUCAUAAAGAAAAAGAGGUUGUUGCUGUAGCCCAUGCUGUUUAUCAAGCAAUGCUCAGCUUGAAGAAUAUUCCUGUUUUGGAGACUGCCUAUAAGUUAAUAUUGGGAGAAAUGACUUGUGCCCUAAACAACCUCCUGCACAGUCUGCAACUUCCUGAGGCCUGUUCUGAAAUAAAACAUGAGGCUUUUAAGAAUCAUGUGUUCAAUGUAGACAAUGCAAAAUUUGUAGUUAAAUUUGACCUCAGUGCCCUGACUACAAUUGGAAAUGCCAAAAACUCGAGUCUUUAAUUGUAAUGACUUUGUUUUAUCCACAGUUAAGCCUUUUCUCAUUACAUAUUUAUGUAUUUCACUGUCAUGUCAACAUGUCUGCAGAAUCACUGUAUGUAACAAACAGCCAUAUUUAAGACAUGCCUGGAUAAAUAAAAUUGGUAGGAAUGUUUUCUUGCCAUUAUAUUU
This 814-nucleotide long non-coding RNA is filed under the name Homo sapiens (human). RNAcentral describes it as "long non-coding RNA NONHSAT173745.1". Lineage: Eukaryota; Metazoa; Chordata; Mammalia; Primates; Hominidae. The record is from RNAcentral.